Molecule: long non-coding RNA, 295 nt
Organism: Meriones unguiculatus (Mongolian gerbil)
Lineage: Eukaryota; Metazoa; Chordata; Mammalia; Rodentia; Muridae
Exons: 3
Source: RefSeq, a predicted model, not a curated record
UGGUAGCAUCUCAGCUUGGAAGCCCUAAGGAGCGCAGUAUUACUACAUCAUCACCUGAAAGUUCUGCUCUGAAACAUCCUUGCCGGGCUUUAAGUGGAGCCCACUGGGCUGGACAAGUCAUUUCCCCUUGACUGGGCUGCCUUUCCAGGCCACUGCGGAAGAGAAUGUGCUCCAUCCUGAUGAGACUUGAUGUGCUGGGAUGGAGGCAGGAACGGAGGAGGACUUAGUUACAACCAUCAUUUGGACUCCACGGGAACCAAACAGGAGCUCACAGAACAAAACAGGCUAUAGAAAG